This 634-nucleotide ribosomal RNA is filed under the name uncultured bacterium. RNAcentral describes it as "bacterial SSU rRNA". It matches the Rfam family "Bacterial small subunit ribosomal RNA", at positions 8 to 487 of the family's 1533-position model. The record is from RNAcentral.
AGAGUUUGAUCAUGGCUCAGGACGAACGCUGGCGGCGUGCCUAACACAUGCAAGUCGAACGGUCUAAUGUUCAGCACUGAAUGUUUACUACAGAGAACUUGGUAAAGCCGCGGACGCGACCGAAAGAGAGCGUCGAAGCGACCAACAAAGUGCCAACACGGGAGCGAAGUUGGAAAGAAGUAGAGGAACAUUGAGUGUUGGACAUUAGAUAGUGGCGGACGGGUGNAGUAACGCGUGGGUAACCUACCCAUAAGUGGGGGAUAACAGUUGGAAACGACUGCUAAUACCGCAUAAGCUUCAAUUGUCAAAAGGCAGAUGAAGUAAAGGAGGCCUCUGAAUAUGCUNUCCGCUUAUGGAUGGGUCCGCGUCUGAUUAGCUAGUUGGUAAGGUAACGGCCUACCAAGGCAACGAUCAGUAGCCGGCCUGAGAAGGGUGAACGGCCACACUGGGACUGAGACACGGCCCAGACUCCUACUGGAGGCAGCAGUGGGGAAUAUUGCGCAAUGGGGGAAACCCUGACGCACCGACGCCGCGUGGAGCGAUGAAGGCCCUUAAGGUCGCCAAACUCCUGUUUUAAAGGACGAAACGGUCUUUGGUAAUAAUACCACCCAACGAAUGACGGUACCUUACAAGA